GCAGAACGCGAAGAACCUUACCAAGGCUUGACAUGGAUUUCUAAGCACGUGAAAGCGUGUGACCCUUCGGGGGACGUUCCACAGGUGCUGCAUGGCCGUCGUCAGCUCGUGUCGUGAGAUGCUGGGUUAAGACCCCGCAACGAGCGCAACCCUUGUGAACAGUUGCCAGCGCGUCAUGGCGGGAACUCUGUUCAGACUGCCCAGAUCAACUGGGAGGAAGGUGGGGACGACGUCAGGUCAGUAUGGCCCUUACGCCUUGGGCUGCACACGUACUACAAUGCCCAGCACAAUGAGAACCGAUGCCGCGAGGUGGAGGAAAUCUGCAAAACUGGGCUCAGUUCGGAUUGGAGGCUGCAACUCGCCUCCAUGAAGUUGGAAUCGCUAGUAAUGGGGCAUCAUCUACGGCCCCGUGAAUACGUUCCCGGGUCUUGUACACACCGGGUC
This 444-nucleotide ribosomal RNA is filed under the name uncultured bacterium. RNAcentral describes it as "bacterial SSU rRNA". It matches the Rfam family "Bacterial small subunit ribosomal RNA", at positions 954 to 1398 of the family's 1533-position model. The record is from RNAcentral.